RNAcentral lists this ribosomal RNA (465 nucleotides) under uncultured bacterium. Its description in RNAcentral is "partial 16S ribosomal RNA". It matches the Rfam family "Bacterial small subunit ribosomal RNA", at positions 28 to 507 of the family's 1533-position model. The record is from RNAcentral.
GACGAACGCUGGCGGCGUGCUUAACACAUGCAAGUCGAACGGAAAGGCCCUGCUUGCAGGGUACUCGAGUGGCGAACGGGUGAGUAACACGUGGGUGAUCUGCCCUGCACUUCGGGAUAAGCCUGGGAAACUGGGUCUAAUACCGGAUAGGAGCCAUUUUUAGUGUGAUGGUUGGAAAGUUUUUUCGGUGUAGGAUGAGCUCGCGGCCUAUCAGCUUGUUGGUGGGGUAAUGGCCUACCAAGGCGGCGACGGGUAGCCGGCCUGAGAGGGUGGACGGCCACAUUGGGACUGAGAUACGGCCCAGACUCCUACGGGGGGCAGCAGGGGGGAAUAUUGCACAAUGGGCGCAAGCCUGAUGCAGCGACGCCGCGUGGGGGAUGACGGCCUUCGGGUUGGAAACUCUUUUCGCUAGGGACGAAGCUUUUUGUGACGGUACCUAGAUAAGAAGCACCGGCUAACUACGUG